GCCCCCGUAGUUAAAUGGAUAUAAUAGGGACCUCCUAAGUCUUAGUUGCUGGUUCGAUUCCAGCCGGGGGCACCA
This 75-nucleotide transfer RNA is filed under the name gamma proteobacterium IMCC2047. RNAcentral's name for it is "tRNA-Pro". It matches the Rfam family "tRNA". From Rfam's summary of the family: Transfer RNA (tRNA) molecules are approximately 80 nucleotides in length. The record is from RNAcentral. Lineage: Bacteria; Pseudomonadati; Pseudomonadota; Gammaproteobacteria.